AUUGAACUACCCUUCCACUCCACACACUCUGUCAAUUAAGCCAGUGUGUAUGGAUGGACUUCUAAUCAAAACAAUGUUUAUGAAAUGACCAUCAUGUGAAAUGAUAAUGAAACAUGCUAUCAGCCCUGGUUAGAAAUCAAUGCAAAUGUGUCAUGUGGGGAAAUUCUCAGCUACAGCUCCAAGCUCCUCAUCAACACCGUUUCCCUGUAUGGAAUGCUCUUGUCAUCACUCAGAGAGAAAUUGUACAACCAUCAUGGCUCCGGAGAUGAAUCUGGGCUGAUCUGUCAAACUGCGGUUUAGGAGACACUCACCAAUCGAACGCGGUGAGAACCUUGAUGACUCUACCUGUGGAUGAGGAUGCGGUCUACACUAUCUCUCUGUGGAGGAGAAGGGGAGGGCAGGGGCCUGAGAGCCCGGGUAGGCAGGAUGAAGAGACUGCUGUGCCUUCGACACGCCCACCGUGUGGAUGUCCUGACGGACAUGGAGCCGGGGCUCUGGCUGAGGCGCUUCCAG
Long non-coding RNA from Oncorhynchus tshawytscha (Chinook salmon), 513 nucleotides. RefSeq lists it as uncharacterized. The record is from RefSeq and is a predicted model, not a curated record. The transcript has 3 exons. NCBI's taxonomy places the organism in Eukaryota, Metazoa, Chordata, Actinopteri, Salmoniformes, Salmonidae.